GUUUUGGAAAUCAGGUCAGCUACUGUGUCUCAUUCUUAACUGCUCUAAUUACCCCAUAGCACAGCAAGAGACACACAGCGACCCCAGAAGGCUUCCCUUUGGAGUGAGAUACACUUCUUUGUGUUGUUAGAACAGAACAGGGGGGUACAUUUUCCUUCUUUGAGCUAUUAGUUUUGUAAAUCAUUCCAAACAGCCUCUCCCCUGGGUCACUCCACCUUCCCCAGCAGCAGCUGGUGGUGGGGCACCCUUUUAGCUGAUGAGAAGCCCUCAAUCACUGCCAGCUGCACACUGCCCCUGAACUCCAUCCUGCAACUCCCACCUUCCCAGCAGAUGUUACACAGCCAUACUUCAGUGAGCUAUCAAUUAAGGGAAUGCAGCUACCCUAAGGUAUAUCUGAGGAAGAUCCUACCUCUAGGCCACUUCCUUAGUUCUGUACCAUACAUUUUUAUGAAGCUUGUAGCCUGAAUGUUUCUCAAGUUGCAGGGUUGGUCCUCUGUGUGUGCAUGAAAUAUGAAGUGUGCCUGCAGUCCAAGCACCUCCUUCUGAGCCCCUGCACCAAGUGCAGAUGGAUUGGUUCUUUGGCCACUCACCUUACCUCCAAGAAAACGUGGAAGAGAGAUGCCUUUGGGAGCAAUCUGACUAAAUGACUUCCCUGGGGUCCAACAAGUACUCCAGGGCAGAAGCUGAACUGAACUCAGAGCUCCCAAGCAUUAGUAGGGCCUUAACCACAGAACGAUCUUUGUCUCAUUAUGUUAACAUGAUCUCAGUUAAAUGCUGCCUGACUUAAGUCUGUGAAGAUAAAAGCAAUGCUCUAGCUUAAAAAUGGAAUAAAAUGCUGGAAUCACUUCAGUACUAGUGAAUUAUUAAUAUUAACCAUGUAAAGAAAAAGUUCAGUGUUUCAGAGGAGUAACUUAAAAAAAAGGGCUUU
Molecule: long non-coding RNA, 928 nt
Organism: Tympanuchus pallidicinctus (lesser prairie-chicken)
Lineage: Eukaryota; Metazoa; Chordata; Aves; Galliformes; Phasianidae
Exons: 3
Source: RefSeq, a predicted model, not a curated record